CGACGGGAGCUUGCUCCCUUAGGUCAGCGGCGGACGGGUGAGUAACACGUGGGUAACCUGCCUGUAAGACUGGGAUAACUCCGGGAAACCGGGGCUAAUACCGGAUGCUUGAUUGAACCGCAUGGUUCAAUCAUAAAAGGUGGCUUUUAGCUACCACUUGCAGAUGGACCCGCGGCGCAUUAGCUAGUUGGUGAGGUAACGGCUCACCAAGGCGACGAUGCGUAGCCGACCUGAGAGGGUGAUCGGCCACACUGGGACUGAGACACGGCCCAGACUCCUACGGGAGGCAGCAGUAGGGAAUCUUCCGCAAUGGACGAAAGUCUGACGGAGCAACGCCGCGUGAGUGAUGAAGGUUUUCGGAUCGUAAAACUCUGUUGUUAGGGAAGAACAAGUACCGUUCGAAUAGGGCGGCACCUUGACGGUACCUAACCAGAAAGCCACGGCUAACUACGUGCCAGCAGCCGCGGUAAUACGUAGGUGGCAAGCGUUGUCCGGAAUUAUUGGGCGUAAAGCGCGCGCAGGCGGUUUCUUAAGUCUGAUGUGAAAGCCCCCGGCUCAACCGGGGAGGGUCAUUGGAAACUGGGGAACUUGAGUGCA
This 597-nucleotide ribosomal RNA is filed under the name uncultured bacterium. Its description in RNAcentral is "bacterial SSU rRNA". It matches the Rfam family "Bacterial small subunit ribosomal RNA", at positions 70 to 650 of the family's 1533-position model. The record is from RNAcentral.